RNAcentral lists this ribosomal RNA (253 nucleotides) under uncultured bacterium. Its description in RNAcentral is "partial 16S ribosomal RNA". It matches the Rfam family "Bacterial small subunit ribosomal RNA", at positions 524 to 776 of the family's 1533-position model. The record is from RNAcentral.
UACGUAGGGGGCAAGCGUUGUCCGGAAUUAUUGGGCGUAAAGAGCGUGUAGGCGGUCCGGUAAGUCAGCUGUGAAAGUCAAGGGCUCAACCCUUGAAAGGCGGUUGAUACUGUCGGGCUAGAGUCCGGAAGAGGCGAGUGGAAUUCCCGGUGUAGCGGUGAAAUGCGCAGAUAUCGGGAGGAACACCAAUGGCGAAGGCAGCUCGCUGGGACGGUACUGACGCUGAGACGCGAAAGCGUGGGGAGCAAACAGG